This is a long non-coding RNA of Rana temporaria (common frog), 725 nucleotides long. RefSeq lists it as uncharacterized. The transcript has 2 exons. The record is from RefSeq and is a predicted model, not a curated record. Lineage: Eukaryota; Metazoa; Chordata; Amphibia; Anura; Ranidae.
CACAUAGGCAGGGACUCUCAGAGGUGUUUUGUAACAGGGCCAGCUCCCUGCUAAUCUAUUUUAGCAACCUCCCCAGUUCAAUCCCAUGUACUAAUAUGCAAUAUGUCAUAUUAUACACAAAGCUUUUUUUUUUGUGUGCACACAGGUUAUCAUUACAGAUAAUGUAUUCUGUAUACAGUACAUUUUGUAUGGGACGGGUUUUGGAGUAUAAGGUCUGUGCUCCACAUGUAAAGCUCUGCAGAGUUCAUCUCUGCACUCGGCUGCUAAACUCCUAAUCCUUUAUAUUUAUGCGUUUGUGAUUGUGUGUCACCCUGCUAGAUCCCUAUUCUUUUGAAUACUGCAACUAUAGAAGAAUAUGCUUCAAGGACAAUGUGAAGCAAAGGACUUUUUUUUUGUUCUGAAGAUGCAGUAUAGGAGGUAAUGAACCAGCGUGUCUUUCUCUAUAUCUGCUGAUCCUCUUGUCCUCUGGGCCUGGCACUGUGAAAUACCUUUUAGCAUCUAUCCAGGUUAAUGCAGAUUUAAUCUACUUUUGCUGCAUCGCUAUCCAGUAUAAGCCAUGCUGACAGUGCACGUCAUACGGGUGCUGAUGGAGCUUCAACCUAUAUGCAAUAAGAUGUAUCCCAGCUGAAACGUGUACAUUUUAUUACAUUCCAUCAUCCAGAUCCCUGCCUAUAUGUACACCAUGACAGCUGACCUUCGGUCAAAUAAAGUAAUCGCGUUCCGUC